Molecule: unclassified non-coding RNA, 346 nt
Filed under: soil metagenome
Description: partial contains 5.8S ribosomal RNA, internal transcribed spacer 2, and large subunit ribosomal RNA
Rfam family: 5.8S ribosomal RNA (bases 1-119)
Source: RNAcentral
GAUGAAGAACGCAGUGUAAUGCGAUACGUAAUGUGAAUUGCAAAUUCAGUGAAUCAUCGAGUCUUUGAACGCACAUUGCGCCCCCUGGUAUUCCGGGGGGCAUGCCUGUCCGAGCGUCAUUGCUGCCCUCAAGCACGGCUUGUGUGUUGGGCCCCGUCCUCCGAUCCCGGGGGACGGGCCCGAAAGGCAGCGGCGGCACCGCGUCCGGUCCUCGAGCGUAUGGGGCUUUGUCACCCGCUCUGUAGGCCCGGCCGGCGCUUGCCGAUCAACCCAAAUUUUUUAUCCAGGUUGACCUCGGAUCAGGUAGGGAUACCCGCUGAACUUAAGCAUAUCAAUAAGCGGAGGA